RNAcentral lists this long non-coding RNA (785 nucleotides) under Olea europaea subsp. europaea. The record is from RNAcentral. Lineage: Eukaryota; Viridiplantae; Streptophyta; Magnoliopsida; Lamiales; Oleaceae.
CAGAGACUUAAAACUAGUAUAUUACAUUGUGAUUUUUUUGGCUGGGCCUUAAACAAUUAACCUAUUUGUACAGAUGAUUCUAUACAAAUAUGUUGACAAAUGCAUGUGUGGCUUACAUCUGUUUAAAUCAAUAGUUGUCGAAUUCAAAUCAAGGAAUGGUUGUUUUGUUAAUUUAUUUGCACAUGUAACAGAAUUGUUAUUCAAAUGGAUCGUGCUACUUUACCAAGCCUGGUAACUUUUCUCACAUUUGGGGUGAGGUGGAUAUUUUGGGACUUCUUUUUUUUUAACAAUGGGGGGACCCAUUGGCCACAGAGAGACUGCCACCAGGCCUCCAUAAUUGUAUUCAAAUUAUCUUCUCUGUAGCAAGUCAGAAAAGAGUACCUAUACGGGAACUAAAACUUAAGCAGAAGAUUUAAGUCAGACCAUCUGUUGAUGUUUUGUACGAAGUAUGGUCAGAAUCAAAGGUGGACCAGUCAGAUCACGUGGAAAGAAAAUGCUGUAUCUGGAAAACGUUGAUGAAAGAAGAUUUUCCCUGAUCAGCCCAAGUACCAUUUUUGGACCCACUUUUCCCUUUGUCUUUGGUGCCCAUUUAGUGGGCCGUGCUUUUAGGCUGUGUUAAGGGUCAGGACUGGCCCCCUUUAAUUUAAAGGAUUGUGGUACAUUAUCAGACUUCAUUUAUCGCAUUCCUUAAAGGCCUCUCAUGCAACAAGAGUGGGCCAAUAUUAAUGGGGUAUUUUUUUGAAUGAGGACCCACCUCAUGAGAGAGGUCUUAUAAAACCUCUGGC